GGCGGCAGGCCUAACACAUGCAAGUCGAGCGGUAGAGAGGUGCUUGCACCUCUUGAGAGCGGCGGACGGGUGAGUAAUACCUAGGAAUCUGCCUGGUAGUGGGGGAUAACGUUCGGAAACGGACGCUAAUACCGCAUACGUCCUACGGGAGAAAGCAGGGGACCUUCGGGCCUUGCGCUAUCAGAUGAGCCUAGGUCGGAUUAGCUAGUUGGUGAGGUAAUGGCUCACCAAGGCUACGAUCCGUAACUGGUCUGAGAGGAUGAUCAGUCACACUGGAACUGAGACACGGUCCAGACUCCUACGGGAGGCAGCAGUGGGGAAUAUUGGACAAUGGGCGAAAGCCUGAUCCAGCCAUGCCGCGUGUGUGAAGAAGGUCUUCGGAUUGUAAAGCACUUUAAGUUGGGAGGAAGGGCAUUAACCUAAUACGUUAGUGCUUUGACGUUACCGACAGAAUAAGCACCGGCUAACUCUGUGCCAGCAGCCGCGGUAAUACAGAGGGUGCAAGCGUUAAUCGGAAUUACUGGGCGUAAAGCGCGCGUAGGUGGUUUGUUAAGUUGAAUGUGAAAUCCCCGGGCUCAACCUGGGAACUGCAUCCAAAACUGGCAAGCUAGAGUAUGGUAGAGGGUAGUGGAAUUUCCUGUGUAGCGGUGAAAUGCGUAGAUAUAGGAAGGAACACCAGUGGCGAAGGCGACUACCUGGACUGAUACUGACACUGAGGUGCGAAAGC
RNAcentral lists this ribosomal RNA (727 nucleotides) under uncultured bacterium. RNAcentral's name for it is "bacterial SSU rRNA". It matches the Rfam family "Bacterial small subunit ribosomal RNA", at positions 38 to 760 of the family's 1533-position model. The record is from RNAcentral.